GUGCUCGCUUUGGCAGCACAUAUGCUAAAAUUGGAACGAUACAGAGAAGAUUAGCACGGCCCCUGUGCAAGGAUGAUACGCAAAUUCGUGAUGCGUUCCAUAUUUUU
This 107-nucleotide small nuclear RNA is filed under the name Physeter macrocephalus (sperm whale). The record is from RNAcentral. Lineage: Eukaryota; Metazoa; Chordata; Mammalia; Artiodactyla; Physeteridae.